Molecule: long non-coding RNA, 823 nt
Organism: Equus quagga
Lineage: Eukaryota; Metazoa; Chordata; Mammalia; Perissodactyla; Equidae
Exons: 3
Source: RefSeq, a predicted model, not a curated record
CCACAACUCAGUUUGUCACAUACAGACACUCCCUAAGUGUUUGAAGACAUGAAUCAAAAAGCUGACAUAAGUUCAACUUGAGUGGCAGCACUUAGUGAGCUUCAGGGACUAGAAAACAGGCUGGAUUUGAGAUAAAAUACAGAAAAUGUACAAUGUGGUAUUACGAUCAAACCUCUUCGUGUAUCAGGAACCCUCCUGGGCUGCUCUCCAUUCCUAUUGAGCACUCAAAUAACCUGUGUGAGAGUUGACGUCUGUAUGUCUUAAGGGCAGUGGAGUGGUUUAUAUUUUUUCCAAUUGAUCCGUGUUAACUGAGAAUGGGUUUUCUGCCUGGAUUGAGGACAGUCACUGAGUGUGACGAGUAUGACUGACAGCAGCAGCCCAGAUUGCCACCACAGUUGGCUUGAUGAGUGGUACUGGGUCCGUGCCCAGGAUCCGAACCUGUGAAGCCCCGGGAUCCGAACCUGUGAACCCCAGGCCGCUGAAUUGGAGGGUGUGAACUUAACCACUACGCCACUGGGAGAACCCCCAUAAACUUUAACUAUGUGCUUUAUGCAAAAGGAUGUCUUAAAUCUUUUACCAAACAUUCAUUGAAGAGGGAAUUGUAAAAAAUUAAUUUGCCCAUGUAAUUUAAGUAAAAAAUCUGAUACAAAAUGUCGAUAUCCUCAUUAACUUUUGUCCAAAAGAAUUACAAACUGGGUGAGAACAUAAAAUCUUUUAACUCAACCAGAUAGUGGUUCAAAAGUGUACCCACCUAUUAUUCACACAACCAAGGGGAUGCAAAUGUUAGUAUUGCUAAUAUAGUACAGGGAAGAAAUAAGAAUCU